UACGGAGGGGGCAAGCGUUGUUCGGAAUUACUGGGCGUAAAGGGCGCGUAGGCGGCCGACACAGUCAGGCGUGAAAGUCCCGAGCUCAACUCGGGAAUUGCGCUUGAUACUGGUUGGCUAGAGUCCGGAAGAGGGUAGUGGAAUUCCCAAUGUAGAGGUGAAAUUCGUAGAUAUUGGGAGGAACACCGGUGGCGAAGGCGGCUACCUGGUCCGGCACUGACGCUGAGGCGCGAAAGCGUGGGGAGCAAACAGG
Molecule: unclassified non-coding RNA, 253 nt
Filed under: uncultured Alphaproteobacteria bacterium
Lineage: Bacteria; Pseudomonadati; Pseudomonadota; Alphaproteobacteria
Description: contains 16S-23S intergenic spacer region
Rfam family: Bacterial small subunit ribosomal RNA
Source: RNAcentral